GCACCGCUGACGUGUCCAAAACAGGACGAAACAGCUGUCCAGUGC
Molecule: non-coding RNA, 45 nt
Filed under: Echinostoma caproni
Lineage: Eukaryota; Metazoa; Platyhelminthes; Trematoda; Plagiorchiida; Echinostomatidae
Source: RNAcentral